Molecule: long non-coding RNA, 2881 nt
Filed under: Homo sapiens (human)
Lineage: Eukaryota; Metazoa; Chordata; Mammalia; Primates; Hominidae
Description: HSALNT0141155
Source: RNAcentral
UGACAAUGGAAGGGAGGGAAGCCAGGGUUUGAACAGCAGCAACAGUUACAGAGAUACCUUAAGAUAUGAUCCCUUCAGAACAAUAGCUUGGAGAUCACCGUCAUCAAAAUAUCCACUUGCCCAAAUCUGUAGUCCCCAGGCCCCUGGAGCAAGGCCUGCUGCCCUGGGUGUCUUGGCAGUUGUUCAAGCACGACUGGAAUCUGGCUUAGCAUUAGGCCAAGUGAGCACAGAGACUUGCACUGCUGCAUAUUUAAAAUUACUUGUCAGGAAAAGGAGCUACAGAGAAGAGGGGCUGUGACAGGGGAAGGCAAACAUCCGCACCGUUCAAUAAUUCAGCGCAGAGCCGGUCUUGGCUGCUAAGUUACCACCACAAGGAGCAUUUUUAAAGUCAAACCGAAUUUCCAUGAGAAGUCAUGCCUGAGCAAGCUGGAUCGUUGCCAAAAGACAAGAGAAGACUCCAGACCUUUCUGUAAACAGGCCCUGAGAGAUACGGGGUACUGCAUGAUAAAGCUGUCAGUCUGGUCGCAGCAGCCUGGCAUGUGACUCAUUUGCAUAUGUCACUUCCUUUAGCGUAAUCCAGUCCAUGGGCCUCUAACUUCCAAUCCUGUGGGCAAAUAAAGCUGUCCAGCACAACCUGUGACGAUCAGAUUCAGGCUGUAUUUAGUGGGGGAGGGAUCUGGCCUCAUAUCCUUCAUCUUUAUGCUGCUCCACUCCAGCUCACAGCCCCUCCAACUGGAUGGAGCUCUUCGAAGGGAGGGGCAUUUCAGAGGAGGGUCUCAGGGAUAGCCCCUUUGUGGGGCUGGGCCACCAGGUUGGGGAGAGUGGAGCUGCUGGAACUCUGGAGGGACUGGCUGAGCCAGCUUUCCCAGUGCACCCCUCUGGGAGGGCAGGCUCUCGGUGUAGGCUGCCCAUCUCCUCGCUCUCCUCUGGCACUGCUCCUAUGCCCCCUUGGUUAGCCUGGGAGCCCAUACUACCCAGACUUGGGGUCAAUAAGCAGAGGACCUGUAAGGAGUCCUUGAUGGGAUGUACAGCACUGCCCAACCCUGCACAAGGUAGGGUAUUGCUGUUUGUUGUGUGGUGAGCUGCCUGCUUAUGGCUGGGUUUGGGCCUCCAUCCAUUUUUAUUUUCUUUGAGUUGGUCUCUGGGCAAAGCUUCUCCCAGCAGGCGGAAUCUGGCCUGGGGGCUCCAGCUUCUCUCACCUGCCUGGCCUCCCAAGAGCUAGAGAGCUCCACAUCUCAACUCAUCUAUAACUCAUUAGCAGAACCAUCAGCUAGCAGAAACUAGGAAUAAUAAAAAUGUGCCGUAUUUUCACAAGCUGGAUGCCAGGCUUGGUGGUCAGGACACAGACUGCUUUCAGCUCCCACAUGCCCCUCCUGCUAGCUGCUUUGUGCAGAGUAGUGGCUACAUGGCUGCAGGUGAGAGCCCUGCCUGUGAACAGGCCACCAGGAUGCUGGGACAUACGAGUUGAUAACCCAUGGGCUCCUGAGAGCAGAGAUUGUGACUUACUCAUCUUUGAUGUAGCCAAGUUCUAACAAACCUAAAUGUGCAGCCAUUUGUAAGAGAGGAUCAUGGAAUGAAUACGGGCAUUGAGUCAAGCAGUCUGUGUUCCACUGGCGGUGUGACCUGGGGCAGGCCAUUUCACCUCACUGAGCCUUAGUUUCCUCACCUGUAAAAUGUGAAAAAUAUCACCUUCCUUACCAGGCUUUUCUGAGGAUUUAAUGACAUCAUGUUCAGUGCCCAGUAUGGGUGGAUAAUACCCAGGAGUUUCCUCCUCUUCUCCUCCUAAGUUGACUUGAUGCCCCCCGCUGAAGAUCAUGGCUGAACUGGCUCAAUUCGGAUCCAGGACUCCUGGCUUUGUCUCUUCCCUAGUUGCCCACCACACCCAUGGACACCCUUAGGUAGUUUAUCCUUUUGGGACAACUGGAUUUAUUAGAAAAGGGUAUUCUGGGGUGGAAUAAGGCCCUUUUCAGUCCCCAUGGAGCCUUUUUGGAAGAUGAAGUUCUCAAACCCACAAGAGAAUUCAUAAGACGAGCACACCACCCACAGUUAGGUUUCCCUCUCAAGUGCUUUAUCUCCACGUGGGGCAAAUAGCUCUUUGUCUGCAUAUGUUAUUGGAGCUUUUGGAGUCCAGCCUUCAGAAGAGCUCUAAUUUUUGGAUUCAUAUCAGUUUAUUAGAGAAGCCUAGUUCUAAGGAUUAGCAAAUGGGUAGGUGCUCAGCCAGCCCAGAACAAGCAGAGCCAUGACAGAAGUUUCUGGAAUCUCACAGAGUCGGUGUCUUCAUGGACUCAGGGGGCCUAAAUCCAAUAGCCUGGAUUUGUCACUUUCCCUUAUUCCCUUAUCAAACUCUUCCCUUUUGGACAUCAGAGAAGGAAAGUACUUCCUGUAAGGGGGCAAUUUGCAAAGCUUCAUGGAAGUGGCAUUUGAGUGUGGCCUUAAAGGAUGUGUAGGAUUGGGAACCAUAGAUAUUUAGAGGAAGGCAUUCCUGGCAGAAGGAACAGCAGCAAAACACAGAAGUGGAAAUUAGUAGCAGCAUUAAUGGAGAAUAAUUUGGGGAAUAAGAUAUACAAAUGGAAUAAUAAAAAUAGCAUUAAUUAAACAUUGUGGGAGUCAUUCUGUAAGAUGGCCCCUGGUGAUCUCCGCCUCCUGUUCUUCAUGCCUUAUGUAACCGCUCUCCUUGAGUGUGGUCUGGAAUUACUGACUCACUUUCAAUGCACAGAAUGUAUCAGAAGUAAUGGGAUAUUCCUUCUGAGAAUAGAUUAUAAAAAAAGAGUGUGGCUUCCUUCCUGGCAUUUUCGCUUGCUCUCUCUUUAAUUGUGUGCUCCAAACAAAGCCAGCUGCCAUGUUGUGAGGAAGCCCUGUGUGGAGGACCACAUGGUGAGGA